UACGUAGGGGGCGAGCGUUAUCCGGAUUUAUUGGGUUUAAAGGGUGCGUAGGCGGGCUUUUAAGUCAGCGGUAAAAAUUCGGGGCUCAACCCCGUCCGGCCGUUGAAACUGGGGGCCUUGAGUGGGCGAGAAGAAGGCGGAAUGCGUGGUGUAGCGGUGAAAUGCAUAGAUAUCACGCAGAACCCCGAUUGCGAAGGCAGCCUUCCGGCGCCCUACUGACGCUGAGGCACGAAAGUGCGGGGAUCGAACAGG
This 252-nucleotide ribosomal RNA is filed under the name uncultured bacterium. RNAcentral describes it as "partial 16S ribosomal RNA". It matches the Rfam family "Bacterial small subunit ribosomal RNA", at positions 524 to 776 of the family's 1533-position model. The record is from RNAcentral.